AUUAAGGUGGCAGAGCCCGGUAUAUGCUAAAGGCCUAAGACCUUUCUCCCAGAUGUUCAAAUCAUCUCCUUAAUA
Molecule: transfer RNA, 75 nt
Filed under: Lipinia pulchella pulchella
Lineage: Eukaryota; Metazoa; Chordata; Lepidosauria; Squamata; Scincidae
Description: tRNA-Leu
Source: RNAcentral